RNAcentral lists this ribosomal RNA (531 nucleotides) under uncultured Streptococcus sp. RNAcentral's name for it is "partial 16S ribosomal RNA". It matches the Rfam family "Bacterial small subunit ribosomal RNA", at positions 39 to 535 of the family's 1533-position model. Lineage: Bacteria; Bacillati; Bacillota; Bacilli; Lactobacillales; Streptococcaceae. The record is from RNAcentral.
GAUGAACGCUAGCUACAGGCUUAACACAUGCAAGUCGAGGGGUAACGUGACGGUAGCUUGCUACUGUUGACGACGACCGGCGCACGGGUGAGUAACGCGUAUCCAACCUGCCCCGUACACUGCAAUAGCCCGCUGAAAGGCGGAUUAAUGGCAGAUGCAGUUCAGUGAUGACAUCAGAUCUGAACGAAAGCCUUCGGGCGGUAUGGUGAUGGGGAUGCGUCUGAUUAGGCAGUUGGCGGGGUAACGGCCCACCAAACCGACCAUCAGUAGGCGUUCUGAGAGGAAGGUCCCCCCCCCUUGCAACUGAGACCCCCUCCCACCUCCUACCGGACGCAGCAGUGAGGAAUCUUGGUUAAUGGGCGAUCCCCUCCACCCCCCCAGUCCCCUGCAGGAUGACCCCCCCUAUCGGUUGUCAACUUUUUUUGUACGGGAAUAAAGUGAGCUAAGCGUAGCUUAUUGCAUCUACCGCCCAAAUAAGGCCGGCCCAAUCCGCGCCCCCCCCCCCCCGUAAUACCGAAAGCCCCCCCCCCC